This 490-nucleotide ribosomal RNA is filed under the name uncultured bacterium. RNAcentral's name for it is "partial 16S ribosomal RNA". It matches the Rfam family "Bacterial small subunit ribosomal RNA", at positions 28 to 507 of the family's 1533-position model. The record is from RNAcentral.
GAUGAACGCUGUCUACAGGCUUAACACAUGCAAGUCGAGGGGAAACGACGGGGAAGCUUGCUUCCCCGGGCGUCGACCGGCGCACGGGUGAGUAACGCGUAUCCAACCUGCCUCUGACUGAGGGAUAACCCGUCGAAAGUCGGCCUAAUACCUCAUGGCAUCGUCUGCGGGCAUCCAACGACGAUUAAAGAUUUCAUCGGUCAGGGAUGGGGAUGCGUCUGAUUAGCUUGUUGGCGGGGUAACGGCCCACCAAGGCUACGAUCAGUAGGGGUUCUGAGGGGAGGGUCCCCCAAUUUGGAACUGGGACACGUUCCAAACUCCUACGGAGGGCGGCAUUGAGGAAUAUUGGUCAAGGGGCGGGGGCCUGAACCGGCCAGGUAGCGUGCGGGAUGCCGCCCCUAUGGGUUGUAAACUGCUUUUAUGCGGGGAUAAAGUGAGGGACGUGUCCUCAUUGCAGGUACCGCAUGAAUAAGGACCGGCUAAUUCCGUG